This 253-nucleotide ribosomal RNA is filed under the name uncultured bacterium. RNAcentral describes it as "partial 16S ribosomal RNA". It matches the Rfam family "Bacterial small subunit ribosomal RNA", at positions 524 to 776 of the family's 1533-position model. The record is from RNAcentral.
CACGUAGGGGGCAAGCGUUGUCCGGAUUUAUUGGGCGUAAAGGGCGCGUAGGCGGGAUGGCAAGUCGGUCGUGAAAUCCCUCGGCUCAACCGAGGAACGUCGAUCGAUACUGCUGUUCUUGAGGAUUGCAGAGGAGACUGGAAUUCCCGGUGUAGCGGUGAAAUGUGUAGAGAUCGGGAGGAACACCGGUGGCGAAGGCGGGUCUCUGGGCAAUUCCUGACGCUGAGGCGCGAAAGCGUGGGGAGCAAACGGG